This 253-nucleotide ribosomal RNA is filed under the name uncultured bacterium. RNAcentral's name for it is "partial 16S ribosomal RNA". It matches the Rfam family "Bacterial small subunit ribosomal RNA", at positions 524 to 776 of the family's 1533-position model. The record is from RNAcentral.
UACGUAGGGUGCAAGCGUUAAUCGGAAUUACUGGGCGUAAAGCGUGCGCAGGCGGCUUUGCAAGACAGAUGUGAGAUCCCCGGGCUUAACCUGGGAACUGCAUUUGUGACUGCAAGGCUGGAGUGCGGCAGAGGGGGAUGGAAUUCCGCGUGUAGCAGUGAAAUGCGUAGAUAUGCGGAGGAACACCGAUGGCGAAGGCAAUCCCCUGGGCCUGUACUGACGCUCAUGCACGAAAGCGUGGGGAGCAAACAGG